UUGUAAGUGCAAGGGUUGCUCGACUUUCUAAUAGUGCGAGGGACUACUCGGCUUUUGAGGGACACCAUCCCUUUGAAUUUGUGGGGAUGCCCGGCUUUUAUAGGUGCGUGGCUGCUCUUUUAGAGCAGGGUUUGCCGGGCAUUUGUAGUCACCGUGGUCGCUCUCAUAGAACAGGGUUUGCCUAGGUUUUAUAGUGCGGGCGACUACCUGGCUUUUGACGGACGCCUUUCCUUUUUGUGGUGGGCUGCUCUUAUAUAGAGCAGGGUUUGCCUAGCUGAUAUAGUGCAGGGGACUACAUGAGCAACCUUGUCCUUUUUGUAUGGGUGGCAUGUUUCACUUACCUAGAUACGACUUUAGAAGCCCUUGUUCUUUUUCACAUUUGAUCGACCAAACAUUGUUAGCCUAAAAUGGGAAGCAAAAUCCUAAAUAAUAAUACCAGGAAAAAAGAGAGAGAGAGAUGACGACAACGACGACAACGACGACGACGACGACGAUGGAUCCGUUUUGGAUUUGAUUCGCCCGCCGCCUUCCUUCAUUCAACCCCAAGAAUAUCUCUCACUUGUCCCUCCGACCCCCCAUCCCCCCAAAUCGAUCCGGUUGACUCCUCAAUAUGUCAAUUUGACCGCCGCUUCCGUUAUAUCCGCGUGUUUUCCUCUGAGCUCCUGUUUGAAUUGAUUGUUCCAUGGUGCUUUUAUUGAUCUCCUUUAGCCUCUAACUGUCUCUGAUUUGAGCUCAAGUUUCGUUCCCCCCCCCCUACCUAUCUGUUACGAUGUAUUCCUGUCGGUCGUUGACUCGGAUGCGGUGUUGAAUGACUCGGCCCACGAUCCACUGCGAAUCGAGCUGCAUUGUGCACGCCUGGCCUACUGCGAUGGAGGGAAAGAUGGGAUUUUGCUCGGUAUUGUCUUUGUUUUGGUGGGGUUCUUUGUUUAUCAAUGAACAAGGGGGGGACAUUGACUAAAUAACUACAGAAGGAAUCAUCCUGAUGAGCAGCACCCUUUGAAAAACGUGGCAUGAAUGGGUCAAUAGUUUAUGAACUUCACAGGCCUGAAAAUGCUGGACUAAAGAAAUCUCUCGUACUAUUGCUUUCUUUAGCUUUUUCCCCAUAGUUACAUUCCUGAAUUCAAAUUCCUUUACAACGGUUCUGGAGAAAGCUAAGACUGAAGUGGAUGCAAAACAACAAGUUUCCUGGGCGGACAUGAUUGCUGUCGCUGGAGCUGAAGCAAUUUCAAUUUGUGGUGGUCCUACUAUCCCUGUUACACUAGGCCGGCUUGAUUCUCUGGACCCUGAUUCUCCUGGAAGACUCCCUCAAGAAUCUCUGGAUGCCUCCGCUUUAAAGCAGUGCUUUCAGAUGAAGGGCAUAUCGACUCAGGAACUCGUUGCGUUGCGUUGUCUGGAGCGCAUCAUACGCUUGGUGAUAAAGGCUUUGGCAAUCCAAAUGUUUUCGACAAUUCCUACUACAAGAUUCUUCUCGAGAAGCCAUGGUCGUCUGCAGCUGGAAUGUCGAGCAUGAUUGGACUCCCUUCAGAUCGUACACUUGCCGAGGACAACGAAUGCUUAAGAGAAUGAAAAUCCGUAAAACAAUUUCGAAACCUCCUUUCGAUGAGAGCAUUUCGCAAAGAGCAUCACUCAUCUUCUACACGACACGCGGGGGAAAAUGCAUUGAGAAUUAGAACCACCGCCCAACAGGGUUGCCUUCAGAUGGUCUUUGAGAUGGACUCCCGACGUAUUCAACCCUUCCAGGGGACCCUUGAGCAGAAACCAAUGCCAGAUCUUGUGUACGCAAAGGUAGGCACGCAAUCUUGCCCUGCUCUUUAUCAUUUAUGAUUGUCAGCAAAUUACCUGUCCCCUUCGAUUUCCUGUCCCGUCCUAUCCACCACCAAACACGACAAGAAUCCCUAUCAUACGUACCAUAAAGAGUCUCGCCCCUAUUCGUGUCAAAUCAAAAUCUAAAUUGUCCUCUUCUAAACAUCGAUUCAAAAAUCUUAAGUUUGAAACACCCAGUUAUGCCGCCGUAAACAUAAUUUUGCAAAAUCCAAUAAGGACUCAUUGAUCAAAACAUUAUCAUUCUUCUCUGCAUGUAAAAUGUCAAAAACUAAGGAUGUUCAAUAUUAUCAUUCAUGGAAAACAUUCAAGCCUCAUACCAGGACUUCUAAAAGUACCCACAAAACAUAACUUUUGACAGCAAAGAGUAGGUAGUAGAGCCAACACAUGAA
Molecule: non-coding RNA, 2213 nt
Organism: Punica granatum (pomegranate)
Lineage: Eukaryota; Viridiplantae; Streptophyta; Magnoliopsida; Myrtales; Lythraceae
Source: RefSeq, a predicted model, not a curated record